GAUGAGAAGGCUAUUGUAAUCGUUUCAGAAACAAACAUUGAGAGCCAAAGAAAGAGAAUCACGACAAGCUAAAAGAGAUUUUCGGAAAAUAUCUUAUUGAAGUUCUCUCCUCUGAACUCUCUGAGGAUUUCAUGGUAAAAUAUCUUUGAUGCGUACUGAGAUUAGAGAGUUGUUUUGUCUCUUCUAUAAAAUGAAACAUGAAAAAAAAAAUAUCAGAUAUAUUCGCAGAAAGCGUGAUUUUGUGCACUUAUGAUCCAGCACAGAGAGAGAUGCAAGAUUGCAAACAAGGUCUUGAAUGUGAAAUGAAAAGCAUAGAGAAACUAAAGUUUCCGUAGAGAUCUCUUACACAACUUCUAUGAACACAUAUGGUUUUGUGAGGAAUGCUUAUUGUUAUCUCCUUGAUUCAUCUCUUGAAGACACACUGCCUCCUCUGACCUCUGUGUGUUUUCCUUUUCCAAAUGUUUUUUAUGAUACUUUCUCACUUUCAUUAUUUUGUUCUUUUUCUUGUCUUUUAACAGGCUCAAAUAUGUUGAUACGAAAAUGAGGAGACGUACUCGCCAUAAAAAAGAAAGGAGGACGAGGAUGGAAAGCAGACGUGGAAAAAUCAAAGAAACAAAUUCUGAUCAAAGGUUUGGGCUCAGUUGCCAUACUAUGGCCAUGGCUUAUUUGAGGCGAGAAUGUAGGAAAAUGGUAAUGAUGUUUAUUUCUUUCUCUGAAGUGAAUGUUUCCCUGAUUUUGUUACUUUCUUGAUACAAGCAUUAUGAAUGAUAUUGUAGGCGAUGAUGGGCCAUCCAUACAACAAUAUUGGAAGCGAGAGAGAGAGAGCAGCCGAAGCAAUUACGAAACUUCAGAACCCAUAUGAAGUAAUGAUUGAUAUCGCGUACCAUAAAUUUGUCUUGAUGCAUUAAGUUCCCCCUCUCUGAUCUACCUAGCUGGCCUCUACGUAAUGCUUGAAUCUAUACAACGGAAAGCAUAUGCAGAUGAUUUAAAGAAAGAAUAACAAAUAAACUACUUUCAGUGCAGUGGUUUAAAUUCCUUCUAGGAAGGGACGUGUCUCUAGCUUUGGGCUCUGGAAGCUCAGAAGGUGAAGCAGAAGAAGCUUUAAAAGAGUAUGAAAUGUGGAAACAUGCCUGGUUUCUAACAAAGAAAUCAAAAUAUAGAGAAGGGUGGUGUCAGGUUUUUCAAAUACUUCUAUGUAGAGAUCUUUAAUCUUUUGGUGUUGAAAUACUUCUAUUAUUUGCAAGCAAUCACAUAAUUUCAACUGAACUGA
This is a long non-coding RNA of Brassica napus (rape), 1270 nucleotides long. RefSeq lists it as uncharacterized. The record is from RefSeq and is a predicted model, not a curated record. The transcript has 3 exons. Lineage: Eukaryota; Viridiplantae; Streptophyta; Magnoliopsida; Brassicales; Brassicaceae.